GAUGAACGCUAGCUACAGGCUUAACACAUGCAAGUCGAGGGGAAACGACAUCGAAAGCUUGCUUUUGAUGGGCGUCGACCGGCGCACGGGUGAGUAACGCGUAUCCAACCUGCCCACCACUUGGGGAUAACCUUGCGAAAGUAAGACUAAUACCCAAUGAUAUCUCUAGAAGACAUCUGAAAGAGAUUAAAGAUUUAUCGGUGAUGGAUGGGGAUGCGUCUGAUUAGCUUGUUGGCGGGGUAACGGCCCACCAAGGCAACGAUCAGUAGGGGUUCUGAGAGGAAGGUCCCCCACAUUGGAACUGAGACACGGUCCAAACUCCUACGGGAGGCAGCAGUGAGGAAUAUUGGUCAAUGGACGAGAGUCUGAACCAGCCAAGUAGCGUGCAGGAAGACGGCCCUAUGGGUUGUAAACUGCUUUUAUAAGGGAAUAAAGUGAGCCUCGUGAGACUUUUUGCAUGUACCUUAUGAAUAAGGACCGGCUAAUUCCGUG
This 492-nucleotide ribosomal RNA is filed under the name uncultured bacterium. Its description in RNAcentral is "partial 16S ribosomal RNA". It matches the Rfam family "Bacterial small subunit ribosomal RNA", at positions 28 to 507 of the family's 1533-position model. The record is from RNAcentral.